GCCUGCGCUAAGUGGAACCCGGCGGCUAGAACCUAGAAGAGCUACUUUCGCGUCUAACUUGAAGUCGACGAGUAAUACCACUUCCCUUGAUCACUCUUUCCAAUCUCCACCACAAAAUCAUGGAAUCUAUAUCUAUAAACUCUCGAGAAUACGAUGAUUUGGAUCCAGUAAACUAUGAUACACAUCGCCAGGAAGGAAUUAAUGCAGGAUAUAAAGAUGGUCUGGUUUCAAGAACAAAAGUAUGGAAACAAGUAGGCUUAUUAGUAGGGUUCGAAGUUAGAGCAGAAUUAUGGUUUUUUCAAGGUUGUUUAGAUGUUUGGAACUCAGCUCUUCAAAUUCAAUCUAAUUGUUUUUCAUCUAGGAUUCAAAACAAUAUUAAACAGCUGAAUGAAUUAAUCAAAACAUAUUCAGUUUUUGAUCCUGAGAAUUAGACUGUUCAAGCUAUUAUGGAUGCUUUUCUCCCUAAAGAAGGAAAGGAAAAAACAGAAAAACAUGUAAUGGAUGAUUUGAGAUUGAGAUUUAGACGUAUUGCAGCUUCAUUGGGUAUGAAAUUGGAGCGCAGAGAGGGCUUUGAUUUUUGACGAGGAGAUCAUCGCUUUCUCAUAUAUGUUCCCACCAGGGACUUUUUCAUCCAGCACGGAAGGUCAGGGAGGUGUAUUGGAAGAUUUAUAACUGGAGUGCAGGAUGCUCUUGUAGCUGUGUACCCUGUGUUGCAGGACGAGGAGAGCAACGUAUUUAGCAGGCCGGAAACCUGGAGUUGGUGAUUUUACAUUUUAUUUUAUUUUCUUGAUACGAGUGGAAGUGUGGAACUGCUGAUUCAAGCAGAUUUGCAGCAAUCUUUUGUGUACCAGACAUCUCUGUUUCAUUAGUAUAUACAUGCACUGUUUGAUGA
Long non-coding RNA from Papaver somniferum (opium poppy), 892 nucleotides. RefSeq lists it as uncharacterized. Lineage: Eukaryota; Viridiplantae; Streptophyta; Magnoliopsida; Ranunculales; Papaveraceae. The record is from RefSeq and is a predicted model, not a curated record. The transcript has 2 exons.